RNAcentral lists this ribosomal RNA (432 nucleotides) under uncultured bacterium. RNAcentral's name for it is "partial 16S ribosomal RNA". It matches the Rfam family "Bacterial small subunit ribosomal RNA", at positions 29 to 508 of the family's 1533-position model. The record is from RNAcentral.
AACGAACGCUGGCGGCAGGCCUAACACAUGCAAGUCGAGCGCGCCUUCGGGUGAGCGGCGGACGGGUGAGUACCGCGUGGGAAUAUGCCCUUCUCUACGGAAUAGUCCUGGGAAACUGGGGGUAAUACCGUAUACGCCCUUUGGGGGAAAGAUUUAUCGGGGAAGGAUUAGCCCGCGUUGGAUUAGGUAGUUGGUGGGGUAAUGGCCUACCAAGCCGACGAUCCAUAGCUGGUUUGAGAGGAUGAUCAGCCACACUGGGACUGAGACACGGCCCAGACUCCUACGGGAGGCAGCAGUGGGGAAUCUUAGACAAUGGGGGCAACCCUGAUCUAGCCAUGCCGCGUGAGUGAUGAAGGCCUUAGGGUUGUAAAGCUCUUUCAGCUGGGAAGAUAAUGACGGUACCAGCAGAAGAAGCCCCGGCUAACUCCGUGC